Molecule: ribosomal RNA, 56 nt
Filed under: uncultured soil eukaryote
Lineage: Eukaryota
Description: partial 28S ribosomal RNA
Source: RNAcentral
UUCACCUCAAAUCAGGUAUACUACUCGUCUCAACUUAAGCAUAUCAAUAGGCGAGA